Alosa sapidissima (American shad) is the source of this 4638-nucleotide RNA transcript. It is a transcript of the gene named vascular endothelial growth factor Ba, with no coding region annotated. The transcript is spliced from 8 exons. Lineage: Eukaryota; Metazoa; Chordata; Actinopteri; Clupeiformes; Clupeidae. The record is from RefSeq and is a predicted model, not a curated record.
CUGGCUAAAAAAGUUGGCAGUGCAAUGGUUACGCGCAAAAGGAGAGUUGCGCCGCGUGCGCCUUCACUGUUCUGAAGGGCAAAGGGAAUGAGGGAAACGGUCACAACAAAUAAAUAUAGCGUUUUCUUCCCACGAUGUAGCCUAGUUAAUCUGUGUUUGAUAUUAGACACUGGUGUUUCAACGAGUAUUUAGUUAGACCGCACAAUCGUUUAAGUCAAAGAGAGGAGCGUGUCUUCAACGAAACGUCAUCUAUUUGACUUGAAAGCCAUAGCCGGGGGAUAGACGAUUUAACAGUGACCUCCAGUAGUCGUGAGAUGUGCCGCGUGAGGCGGAUCGGACCAGCCUGUCGUCAACGAUUCACAGAGGACCACAUGCAUAGGCUACGCGCUUUCUUUUCUAGGUGGAAUAUCAAAACUAUUAUUGCCUGAAUAUGGAUUCCUAUUUAGCUUGUAAUUAACCAUCGGUUGAUUUUUUUUUUCGACCUAACUGGGCAGCAUCUAUGAGAAAAGUCUUACCAGUCAAUUCAGUCUGUUUCUGCAAUCCUGUUUUACGAAAACUCUUUCAUUAGGCCUACAUUAUAAUCUACGGAAGACACAUUUGAUUCAUUCGCCUCAUUAGUAAAGUGCUAUGAUCUUUAUUUUGUAGGCUAUCCUACAUAGGCUACUUGACAACCAAAAUUAAAGCAUUUUUGAAGCGCGUGAUUUUAAGUAAUAGUACCAAAGCUGACUGUUAAGUUGUCUUACUAACGUAUAGUCUUCGCCCGUCUGCACAGGUAGGCGAGAACGAACCCCAUGAAGUUAGCUUAAUCAGUCCAAAAGACACAUGCAAAGCCAUGAUGGGGGCAGUGACCGCUCAGUGUUUAGACGUCCUACACAGCAAAUUAUCACGGCUUUCACCUACUGGGUUACUCACUGUACAAAACUGGGAACAAUGGAUUUAAAAACGUAUUGGUGCUUUUAGAAAGAAUUCAAGGAAGAGGACAUAAGCCUUUUAUAAUUUACAGAACUAUUCCCGUGUCUUUGGAAAACUUAAUAAUGGGAACAAGACUGCAAGUUAUCCUUGGAGUGUUUCAGUUUGUUUCUCUCACAGGAAUACCCAUAUGUUGUGGCAAGCUAACACAGUGGCAACCUACAGAACCCCACAGAUCUAGAGAAGUGGUGAAGUGGAUGGACGUGUACCAGCGGAGCAGCUGCCAGCCGCGGGAGGUGUUGCUGGAGGUGUGGCGGGAGUUCCCAGAGGAGACGCACCUCCUCUACCUGCCGUCCUGUGUGCCCGUGCGCCGCUGCGGGGGCUGCUGCGCCGACGAGGCCCUGGAGUGCGUGCCCUCCCGCACCCACACACUCACCAUGGAGUUGAUGAAGACCUCAUACAUGAAGCAUGAGAUGGUCCAGCUCCCCUUCACCGAACACACUCAGUGUGAGUGCAGACCAAAAUCAGACAUGUACACCCCCCCAACCAGGCAGGAAGAUCACCGGCCGACACGGAAAGACAGAAAGAGGGAGCGUGGAAAAUCGCGACGAAAGAAAAACCGCAGGAUCAAGCCCACACGGCCAGUUUGGACCACUGGUCCUCCUAGUGUUGCCCCCACGCCCAGUACCCCCUCCUCCCCCCGCACUGGUGCAGUGCGCGCCCUGCCCCGGGCGCUGGCGGACCCUCGACCCCAUGUCAUGUGAGUGCCAGUGCAGGCUGAGGGAGACGGGCUGCACACGUCGAGGAAAAAGACUCAACCAGCACAGCUGCAGGUGUGAACCGGUGAGGGAAUGAUGUUGAUGAACACUCACUUCCUCCUGGUUAUAACCACUGUUGGCCCUCAUAGCUUUAAGGAGAGGAGAGGAGAGGGAUACGCUUCUCCGGGUGUUGGGAGGACAGUGGGGGGCGGUAGGGGCAGGUGGGUGGUGAACUUCCAUAGACUGUGAAAGAAGACUGUGGGACAGGGAGUGUGUGCCGUUGACUUUCUCAUGAUCCCUCUCCACUAAACAAAGCCAUCCACCACAGCAUCUGCAGAUGCUCUGAUCUACCUAUGUGUCUGUGUCUAUGUUGUGUGUCUUCCAGGCUUGCCACAUACUUGCUUUGAUAGCAUUUGCAGCUGAACGUCACCAUGUGUAUAGACAAAUAUAUGAUGUUGCUUCUUUAUGAGGUUAAAGGGUAAUGUAGACAACGUAAAUGUUUGAAAAAGGGAAAUGACCCGAACAUGUCAAGGUCUCCUGGGCACAAGACUCAAAUACCAGGACUAUUAGAAGGGUAUGGAAAGGGUAUGUUAUUACCCUUGAUGGCAAAAUGGGUGUGCAGUUUUAACAGAUCUAACCUGAAAUGGAUUUAUUGCAAUCCUAGCUUUUUGCUUAUAAGGGUUCUAAAUGUAGGUUACAAAUGACAAAUCUAGGGAAUUUUACAUCUACUACUUUAACUUACUAUAAACUGCCUGUGGAAUUGAAAUUACUUGAAUGUCGCCAGUUGCCAUAUGAAUGCUUCUACGUGAGUCAGGCUUUCCACCUAACAUAGUUACACACUUAUGACAAGAUACCUGACAAUUGAGAAUACAACAGUUUAAGACAGUUGUAGGUUGCAGAGAGAUUGGCUGUAUUAAACGAUAAGAGAGCUACUGUUGCAAUGCAGUAGAAGAGAAUAGCGUCAUGUCUGUGGUAUAUAGGAUUUAAACAUGGCAGAUGUGAUCAUCACUGCAGAUAUAGUGGAUGGUGUGUGUCUACACUGGCCAUGCUGAUUUUAACUGUGGGCUCAGGAUGGUUGGAAGAGAUAUCUGUGUGGUCCAUAGGUCUGCUCAUAUAUUCAUAGCCUUAUCACGGGCCCGCAGAUUAGAUCACUGAGUCUUUUUGUGUUUGUGUUUGUUUUGUUUGUUUUUUUCCCCUCCAUCUUUCUUUUUUUCUGUUAGGAUUGAAAGAGCCUUGAGCUCUGGCUAGGCAGUGAGGGGAAUGUCAAUAGUAAGGGGAACUGGCCUUAUUCCAUGAGUGCUGUGAGACACACACACACACACACACACACACACACACUCAGUCGUACACACACACACACACACACACACACACAUACACACAGUCAAUCUUACUUUCAAUUGAAUUAGUCCCUUUGAUUCAUUCCUUUUUAAUUCAUUACAGCCACUCUGAGUAGUCCACACAAUCUUAACCACCACAUCCUAAGAAAAGCUAUAAUGUCAUAAUCAGUCUCUUUCCCGCUCCUCUCUUUUCCUCUCUCUCUCUCUCUCUCUCUCUCUCUCUCUCAUUCUCAUUCUCAUACUCACACUCACACUCACACACACCUCAUACUCAUUCUAGAUGUGUAGACAUGUGCGUUUGUGUUAUUGUCCUUAUGUUAUUUUAGCCUCAUUCUUUUGCAGAUAGUAUCCCCAAGACGUGUUUCUUUUGCACGCAGUGUUUCUUUGUUUCUCUGUUUUUGUUUUCUGUUAAUCCGCCUGCACAGAAUCUGUCUGGGUGGCCUAGUAUGUACACAUUUGGCAUCCACACACAUGUCUGUGUUUGGACUGAAUUUAAACAGGGGAGAAAGGGGAAGGUUAAGCAGGCCAGAAAAAGAGAAAUAACUAUAUAGUGUAUUAAUCAACAGCAGCAUCAACUCUGAGCAGUAUGGGGAAAAAGAUCACAAAGUCACUCAUGUGUUUGUGAACAUACUGUUUGUGGACUGGAUUGAACUGUACAUUAUCUGGAGUUUAAUAUAUUUAUUUUUUAUAUUGAGUUUUAUAUUGAGCUAUGCAUUAUUUCUGUGAAUUUGUGAAUUUAAUUGCUACUGUGACAACACACAAACAAUCAGUGUUCUACAUGGAGGACAAUUAUCAAUUUAUACAUUUAUACAUAAUGGUUGGUGAUUAGACUGUGGUUAAUAUUUAAAGAUUUACAGUUGCAUAGAUAUUAGUAUAUUUUGUUAAUGUCAAACAUUUUGUAGUGCCUAUUAUUAUAAACCAUAUAAGAGGUGGAAGCCUGUUUCAAAGGAAGAUAUUCUACAAGCACUGAAUUUCUUAUGAGUUCAUAGCCAAACUUAAGUCUGCCGCUUUCUUCACGCUAACAAUAUUUUACAUGACCUCUUUUUUGUUAUUAAACAGAGGCAUUGGACCCAGCAGUGAUGAUGACGAUAUUAUAUUGUUAAGUUUCCCGAUGGCUAUUCUGCUAUCCAGGGAGGGAAAUCAGACAGUUGCUAAUUUGAAUAAUACCCAUGUCCAACAAUGGGCUCUGUUGUGCUUUUCACAUUCCAUAUCAAAACAUACACAUGUGUGCACGUCCCUCUGUUUGCAGUAUGUGCCCAUUCAUGUUUUAGCUGUCUGUUUAUGUGUGGGCCAGACACGGUGGAUGUCUCCUGUUUCUUCUCUCUUGGUUCUGGUUCUUUUCUUCCCUGUUUGUUUUGGCUGAAGUGUCACAACCCUAACACCCCAUCAUUAUGUGACAGAACAGAGGCUCGUGUAGGGUCAGUAGGUGUGUGGUAUUUCAGGCCCUUCAAAUGGAUAUCGGGGCAGUUAAGCGAACAGAUGCACUAGCAGUUUAGACACUAUUAUAUUUAUACUGGGCCCCAUUUUUCUUUUCAUUUUUAGAACAUGCAGUUGAACUGCUCUCUCUCUCUCUCUCUCUCUCUCUCUCUCUCUCUCUCUCUCUCUCUCUCUCUCUCUCUCUCUCUCUCUCU